RNAcentral lists this ribosomal RNA (484 nucleotides) under uncultured bacterium. RNAcentral describes it as "partial 16S ribosomal RNA". It matches the Rfam family "Bacterial small subunit ribosomal RNA", at positions 28 to 523 of the family's 1533-position model. The record is from RNAcentral.
GACGAACGCUGGCGGCGUGCUUAACACAUGCAAGUCGAACGAGAACGGAUUAUAGCUUGCUAUAAUUGUCAGCUAAGUGGCGCACGGGUGAGUAAUGUAUAGGUAAUAUGCCUCUUACUAAGGGAUAACAAAUGGAAACGUUUGCUAAUACCUUAUACUCCUUAUUAACAUAAGUUAAUAAGGGAAAGAUUUAUUGGUAAGAGAUUAGCCUGUAUUGUAUCAGUUAGUUGGUGGGGUAAUGGCUUACCAAGACUAUGACACAUAACUGGUUUGAGAGGAUGAUCAGUCACACUGGAACUGAGACACGGUACAGACUCCUACGGGAGGCAGCAGUGGGGAAGAUUGCACAAUGGACGGAAGUCUGAUGCAGCAACGCCGCGUGGAGGAUGACACAUUUCGGUGCGUAAACUCCUUUUAUAUGAGAAGAUAAUGACGGUAUUAUAUGAAUAAGCACCGGCUAACUCCGUGCCAGCCGCCGCGGUAA